This 213-nucleotide long non-coding RNA is filed under the name Musa acuminata (dwarf banana). RNAcentral describes it as "long non-coding RNA (MACU_LNC000669)". The record is from RNAcentral. Lineage: Eukaryota; Viridiplantae; Streptophyta; Magnoliopsida; Zingiberales; Musaceae.
UUACAAUAUGAUGAAUUGCUACUAUUACCAUCAUUCAAACUUGUUAUAUUUGAAAAUGAAUGUCAAGCCCUGACAUCAUCUUCGGAGAGAUACAUCAUGAUGGAAAUCAUGAUGGGAGUAUUGAUAAGUUCAAAUGAUUUUAACUUAUCAAUAUGUCUCUUGAAUUCUUAGGUUUUGAAUUCAAGAAUGACUUAUCUCAAGUAUGACAUAUAA